GCUGGGCGUGGUGGCGCUCGCCUGUGGUCCCAGCUACUCAGGAAGCUGAGGUGGGAGGAUGGCUUGAGCCCAGGAGGUUGAGGCUGCAGUGAGUCAUGAUCGUGCCACUGCACUCCAGCCUGGGUGACAGAGUGAGAUCUUGUCUCAA
Molecule: non-coding RNA, 148 nt
Filed under: Chlorocebus sabaeus (green monkey)
Lineage: Eukaryota; Metazoa; Chordata; Mammalia; Primates; Cercopithecidae
Source: Rfam by way of RNAcentral